RNAcentral lists this non-coding RNA (149 nucleotides) under Chlorocebus sabaeus (green monkey). The record is from Rfam by way of RNAcentral. Lineage: Eukaryota; Metazoa; Chordata; Mammalia; Primates; Cercopithecidae.
GCUGGGUGUGGUGGUGCAUGCCUGUAAUCCCAGCUACUUGGGAGGCUGAGGCUGGAGAAUUGCUUGAACCCAGGAGACGGAGGUUGCAGUGAGCUGAGAUUGCACCACUGCACCCCAGCCUGGGUGACAAGAGCAAAAUCCUGUCUCAA